GCUUUUGAGGAGCCUGAGGCAGGAGAGCCAACUGAGCCUAGGAGUUUGAGACCAGAGCAAGACCCUGUCUGGGAAAAAGAGUGAAGCUUAUUUGAAUUUAGAGGCAUCAGGCCAGGGACGGAGACCGAAAGGUACCUGAGUGUUCCACGCUCCUCAGAUUGCAUCACCACUGCUGCCUUCGCCUGUUGCUCUCCUCCCUCUGGCUGCCCCUCCCAGAAAAAGAAAACAAGGAAG
RNAcentral lists this long non-coding RNA (234 nucleotides) under Fukomys damarensis (Damara mole-rat). Its description in RNAcentral is "lncRNA (ENSFDAG00000027196.1)". The record is from RNAcentral. Lineage: Eukaryota; Metazoa; Chordata; Mammalia; Rodentia; Bathyergidae.